This is a long non-coding RNA of Sorghum bicolor (sorghum), 2124 nucleotides long. RefSeq lists it as uncharacterized. The transcript has 5 exons. The record is from RefSeq and is a predicted model, not a curated record. NCBI's taxonomy places the organism in Eukaryota, Viridiplantae, Streptophyta, Magnoliopsida, Poales, Poaceae.
AACCCACCUGACCACUCGGCGUCUUGGCCAAUCCCAUCCCCACACCCGCUGCCUCUCUUGUCCCGUGACCCUACAAAGCCGCCGCAACACAUCCAGUCAUCCACACGCAAGAGCCCCUGCUCUCGUGCGCCACCUCCCGUGCAAGAGAUGCGCUGCAACUCGCCGGUCAUCGGCGACGAGCCCCCGCCCCCUCGCGUCGCAUCCUGCGCACGCGCUGCCUCCUGCGCAGGAGAUGCGCCACUGCUCGCCGGCCGCCGGCGACAAGCCUCCGUCCCCUGUAUGCCAUCAAUCGACCUCUCAUCCUCCAGGUCACCACGGCAGAGAGCACACCCACCAGUCUGCUACGGACGCGGCUAGCUCCCGCGAUGCAGGGAAGAGGAUGAUUCAGCACUCAACACUAAAGCUAGCUUCCGUCGGCCUCCAUGAAUUUGUAGGUUGCUUCAAAUAAUUAUUUUACGCCUGUGCAAAAAUAAGCAAGGAGGUGGCCAUUUGUGCAUAUGACAACAAAUCCCACUUGAUGGUACGGGGAGCAGAAAGUCAAAAGGAAAUCAUGGUAUUUUCCUUGCUUGAGGUAUUUCCUUUCGGUGAUUCUAUAUGGUUUGGUUCUUUUCGGAUGCCAGCGGCAAUCAUGUUCGUGGUCUUUGUGUGCAAGAUGACACAAUGUCGAUGGCUGAAGCUCUUAUGUCAUAGGUACAAUCAAUCAGAUAACAAGCAAGAGAUGAAAAAGGAUUUAGCAAGCAUUGAAACUGAAUAGACAGGUGAAGAGAUUAACUCUGACAUCCUUGUUUAAUUUAUUAUUCAGUAGCGCAUAAACAGCUACAAUUCACAAUACUCGGUACUAUUGUAUUGACCAUUACUAGCUUUAUCAUAUUCGUAGUCCACAAUAAAUCCACACUUCUGAUUUCAAGUUUCAGAGAAUAGUAGAGCAUAAAAUUAGUAACUGAGAGAUGAAUAUUUUGGUGCCUCAUGUCAAUUUCCAUUGAGAUCUGAGUAUUUGAGCAUGCUUCACUGUCUUAUAUUUUGAGCUUGCUAUGCAAAUGCUGGGCAGAUCCAAAAAAAAAAAACUUUGUGCCUUUAUUCUUUCUACUAUUAGAAAUUGAUCACUUAAUUUUUUCUGAAAGAUUCAAGCCAUUUGUUGUACUUUCAAAUGCUGGUAUGUGCAUCAAUGAUCCUUUGAUAGUAUAUAGACAUGGAUGAAAUUUUCUAGACUAAACUUUACUAUUAACUCAGAGCCUCAAAAUUGCCAGCACUAAAUUAGUUAUUGUCCUUCAUAAGGCAGGAAAAAAGAAGAGACAACAUAGUGUGUGGGUGCUAUUCUUGAAUGAUACAGGCAUUUGCGACAUGUAGCACUUUGUAUCCUCUCUGUAGAAUAAAAAUUUCCAAUGUACAACUUUGGGUAUGCUUUCAGCCUCCUAUGCUCUUAAUUAUUCACCCUAUCAAAACUUCAUAUGUUUGUCAUAGUCCGCUGGUUGGUUUUGUGGCAAAGUUGUUUGUAAAACUUUGAGAGUGCAUGGUACUUUUAGCCAAAAAAGAGAUUUCAUGAUUUAGAUGAUUAGUGUCCUUACAUGCAUAUAUGUUGUGAAGGUCAAACCAUGUCUUUUCUGUUUAACUUCGAACAAAGUUAGCUUCUACAGUUUAGCAGUUCCAGUGCCCAUGUGUCUGCAACAACCAUUGCUUGCUACUGCACCUCAAAGAAGUUGUAUGUGCUGCUUCUGUGUACAAAGGAACUGGCAACCCCUCCACAUAAUUCGGGAAAAACACUCAUCCAGCACGCAAAGCACUUAUAGUGGGCUUUCCAAUCUUGAGCCAAGAUAAUGUUCAAACACAAGUCCUUCCCUCACCAAUUGAGAAGAAUCUCCAGCUGGCAAACUAAGGAUUCAUUCGCGGAAUAAUCAGACCACCAGGCAAAAUCAUUAGGGACUGCUCCAGCGAAGUUGUUGCUAUAACCUAAAUGUCAAUGUAUAUAGUACAACUGAUUCUGUAUAUCCCACAUGUAAAAUAUGCUUGUCAAUGACCACAAACCUAGAACCUGAAAAACAUUCAUGUACAAAACAUACUUAUUACCUGCUCUGUUCAAUCUUCAAUUAUCAGCUGUGCGCGCGAUGGCGCGCGCCCUUCACUAGU